Molecule: long non-coding RNA, 5917 nt
Organism: Ostrea edulis (European flat oyster)
Lineage: Eukaryota; Metazoa; Mollusca; Bivalvia; Ostreida; Ostreidae
Exons: 2
Source: RefSeq, a predicted model, not a curated record
CGUAGCCGAGGUUCACAAUGGUUUCUCGAGGGGUGAAAAUUACAAUGUUACCCUCAACUACAUGCAAUAUUUGUUUUAUUAUACUGAAUGUUAUGUAAACUGGAAAGCAGAAAAACUUACGUCUGUUGACAUUUGAUCAAUCACUGUCAUGCGAUAUUUCGUAUUUCGAUGCGGGUACUCGCGUUUAUUACAAACGCUCAAACGACGUCGUCUAGCAAUCUACGGCGAACCGUACGCGCAUACAUUUGACGCAUUUGAUAAUUUUUUAUAUCACCCGUUGUCAAGUACUGUUACCCGUUGCUAGAUACUAUCACCCUGGGGCGCGUGUUUUUUGUUUUUGUUCUCAGAGGGUAACAAUAUGUUUUUUCAAAUGCUUCUCGACCAAUCAGGUUCGAGUAUUUUACAUGAAAGUAUGAUAACACCAAUUACUUCAUCGUAAUGAUAUUUCAUAUGGGAGUUGUUAACUUGGUUACAUGUAUCAGUUAACCAGGACCCCUAUUUUUCUGGUCAAGGGUCAAUUUUCUCUGGACAUAGGAAUACCUAGUCUGCUCAACAUCUUGAGAACCCUUUGCUUGACAGACAUCAAACUUAGUACGCUGGUACAUCCCAAAGAGUAGAUAACCCCUAAUGAUUUUGAGGUCACAUGGUCAAGGGUCAAACAGGUCAUAGAAAUUAUAUACUGACCACUCAAUGUCUAGAGAACCCUUUGCUUGACAGACAUCAAACUUGGUACACUGGUACAUCAUCAGAAGAUGACCCCUCUUGAUUUUAAGUCACAUGGUUAAAGGCCAAGGGUCAAACUGGACAUAUGUAUAUAUUGACCACUUAAUGUCUAGAUAACCCUUUGCUUGACAGACAUCAAAUUUGGUACACUGGUGCAUCUUCAGGAGAUGACCCUUCUUGAUUUUGAGGUCACAUGGCCAAAGGUCAAUGGUCAAACUGGAUAUAGAUAUUGUCCAAUCAAUAUCUUGAGAACCCUUUGCUUGACAGACAUCAAAUUUGGUACAUCUUGAGGAGAAGAUGACCCCUAUUGAUUUUGAGGUAACGUGGUCAAUGGUUUAAUUGUUUCCUAAUUUUUAAGAACUCUUCGCUUUACUGACACCAAAUCUGGUACAGCAUAAGAAGUAGAUGACCCCCAUUGAUAUUUGGUCACUUGGUCAAUCCACUCCUCACAUUGGAAGAUAUUGUCUGCUCUAUUUCGAAUUGGUGAUACUACUAUCAAUCAAAUUAGGCACGUGUAUACCCGUUUUCAAUUUUGCACCAUGGGGGCAUAUACAUGUAUGUUUUACAAACACAACUUGUGAUUACAAGCAUUACUGAUGAACUUGCGGCUCACGUUUCUCAAGCCAUCAAAAUUAAAUUUGGGCAAAACAUUAUGUCAAUUUAUCUUAACUCUUGAAUUCACAAUCACACAACAACCAUGAUACGCACAAAUUUUCAAUCAUACAAGGUCAAUUAGUUCUCGAACCCAUCAUCAAACAUAACAAAAUUCCCACGAUUCAUAACUCCAUAGAUGGAUUUUUGAUAUUCCCAAGUAUAUAUUUAGCUAGGCACCUUUCUGACAUCCAGGGCAUCUAAAAAAUAUAUUCACGCCAUUCUCAUAGCACAUGAUCGUAACUAGUUCUAGCCGGCUCGAGUACGAUAGGUGUUCAGGCCAACAACAACAAAAUCCCUCAACCUCCUCUGGUUCCAUUGAUGCUGGGUUAUGGCUCAUGUAUAUAUGCAAUCCUAGGUUUCCUACCAAGUAACCCUUCAAAUCAGUGAAAAACCACAGACACAUUGCUACAUACACACUGGUACAUUUAAAUAUUCAUUGUUUGAUUCAAAAUAUUCAGUGAAUUAUGGAUUCAUUGACCUCAAAUGUUGCGAUCAUCACUUUAAAGGCCCAUGCCUUAAACCACACAGCAUCAACUUAUCAAAUGGGCAUAAACUCUCUUCAAACUUUCGUACCAAAUAUGAAUUCCAGCUAUGUUGGCCCCCACCAGUUCACCAGUGUAUCAACUAUAUUGCUUUCUUAAGUACCACCUAAGUAUCGUUUUCAACGGCUAGGUGAAUUAGUUAUAAAAUUCAGUUAGAGGGCGGUAUUGACAACACAAAACCUUCAUAGUAAGCUCAAUCCUACAGGGAUUUCAUAGGCUGAACCUAGUAAAGUAUGCCCGUUUCCCUAUUACUCUUCGUAUAUCUAUCCUACCAAUAGUUUGUUCAAGUUCAUACGAAGCCGCCACGUUUCCCACCGCAUUUCAGUUGGCAAUUUUUGCAUUGUUGCGGGUUGUUGCUAGUCCUGCCGCUCCUACACUAUUGUACUAUCACGUAUCAAUAGGCGAUGUACAUAUUUCGUUGUUUAUAACUGGCUCAAAACAUCAAUGCAAUAGGGGUUCUAUGUUGCACAUUUCACUCAACUCACGAGCAGAUUCAUUGUUCAAGCACAUGCACAAUAUUUUGUCCAUUAGACCAAUCACGUGGCCCAUUUUACUGCCACCUUAAUGCCAAACCGCUCACAAAAUAUCAACUUGCAUCAUUAUUGCACAGGCCUAUUGAAUUCAUCGGUCUAGAUCCCCAACAAUAAAUUCAGGCUAGAGGCAGAUGGAAAUGUGAAUCAUUUAAUGCCUAUACCAGAGCCUAAAAAUUCAAAUUUUUAAGUGUACCUGCAAUAUUGUGCGUCCUAAUUCCAUACUACUGUCUGAAUUAUUGCCUCUUCCAUUAUUCAUUAUCCUGCCCGCCGUAUAUGGAUUUACUACAGCACAUCUUUUUAGUGUGGUAAGAGUGGCAUGGUGUGGAAGGAGGUGGGGCCUAUUGUUGCACAAAGGGGCAAGCCUGAUGUUAUAUUAAUUAAUUGGGGAGGGGGGCCGUAUUGGUACAACACCAUUGGCUAGAUUGCAAAAAUUUCUGAAAUUAACUAUUGCCAGGAUGCCUAUUUACAACUCCACAAACUCGGUUCAUAUCGUCCCAGAUCCUCCCCAGGCGUUACUAUACACAUACGUCUCAAUAUUGCAGCAGACAACGCACGUACGAGUAUUAUCAAAUCAUUAGCUCCAUUCGUAACAUCACACAAUGCCGAAUACAUAAAAUACCUAGGUCUUCAACAAUGCUCUUCCAAAUUUCACAGACACAGUAUGCAUUGUCUGAUAUUGCUCAGGUUAUGUUUUUAAACAGUAUCUGGGAUGGAUUGCUCAGCAUUGUCCAAAGAAACGCUAGAAUAUUUCCUUAACCUAACUACUAUUUCAAUUUGAUAAGCAGUCUCCCUGUCGUGGCUCGAGCAAAAUUGUGCCCGCUUGUGGCGGAUGUCUUCAUGUAUGUUAACAUUUCUUAAACAUACAUGAAGACAUAUGGCCGAAUUUUGCUAAGCCUGCCACAGAUUUUGUUUCAGUCCAGGUCCGUGGCCAAUAAUUGGGCUUAUUGACAUUGAAUGAUUGAUUGAUAUAUUGAUUGAUUGACACAUUGAUUGAUUGAAAAUAUUGAUUGAUUGACACAUUGGUGCAUUGAAAUAUUGAUUGAUUGAUUGAAAAUAUUGAAUGAAUUAUUGAUUGAUUGACACAUUGGUGGAUUGAAAUAUUGAUUGAAAAUAUUGAAUGAAUUAUUGACUGAUUGACACAUUGGUGGAUUGAAAUAUUGAUUGAAAAUAUUGAGUGAAUUAUUGAUUGAUUGACUCAAACAUGCAUGGACUAUUGAUGCUACAACAUUACUAUCCAAAAGUCGUUGUAGAUCAUGCAUUUCAUUACAGAGUGUAUAUGAUAUACAUACUGAUGGUUUGUAUUGAUAUGAACAUUGUCGUUGAAUUGGAAAUAUGUUUUUAUUAAGUAAAGCCAUGACAGAGACUGCCAAUACGUGUUAUCGUUCUGUUCUAUUGAAAUAAUUGGUUUUAAUAACAUAUUGACAUAAAGUACGCUUUUUAGCACCACACGGCUUGCAUAAAUUUUCUUUUCUAAAAAAUAGAUUAUUGUGUUUCUUAUGUACCAGAAUGUCUUUUAAAUUUUUGUCUCUUUUAAAAGUCACUAUGGGCAUAUCUCUAAAAACGUUUUUGAGGCGGUCAGAAUUUUCAAGAAUUUUUUGACGGUUUUUAAAAAAUCUUAUGAAUAUUGAGAAGCCCUCUAGAAUAGUCUACCACAAAGGGAACACGGUUACCCUGCUUCGUAUUUUUUCUGUAGUUUAAGAGAUUUGAUCGGUCGAGUUUAUCUACUUUCUUAAGUUCAUUUUUUUUACAUCAUUAUCCAAAUAACCGCGUUUUCCUAGAUUUUUCUUUAUUUCCUUCCGCUGAAUUUGAUAUUUUUCUUCUGUGGAACAAAUUCUACGCGCACGGAGCCCAAGUCCAAAAAAGCAAACAAAUUACCAACAAGAUGAAAAAAAAGAAAAGAAAGGUUAAUGAAAUGUACAAAAGAGGAUCCAUUUCGUCUGAAUUAAGACAUUAUCUACUACCCACCGAAGUAACAUCAGGAAAACCCCAAGCUAACCCAAAAAUACACAAAAAUAACAAUCCACUCAGGACUAUAGUUAAUGGCCGACAACACCCGACAGAAAAGAUAGCGGAGUACCUUGAUUCGCAACUUGAGAAUGCGAAUAGAUCCCUUGGUAGCUAUGUCCAGGAUACUACAGAUUUUUGAAAAAACUUUCAAGUGUAAAGCAACCAUUACCAGAUUCUUCUAUUUUAUUUUGUAUUGACGUGAAAGCACUUUUAUCCCUGUAUACACAGAAAAGAAGCUCGCGAUAUUACAAGAACGUCGUGAAAAAGAGUUAGACACGGAAAGUAUAUUAAAAAUGUUGGAUGACGUUCUUGACAAUAAUAAUUUUAGUUUUAAUAACAAACAUUACAUGCAGACUGAAUGGACCGCGAUUGGAUCAAAACUUGGGCGAAACCACGCUUGUGUUUACAUGGGGGGAUGGGAACAGAUUCUUCUCGAAAAAUCAAAACAACUACCAUUAUUUUAUGUACGUUAUAUUGAUGAUAUUUUUGGCAUCUGGACGGGUACAGAAAAAGAACUUAAACAAUAGGGGCUGUAAGCUCGCAAACGAGAUGACGCGAGAUUUGAGUACUUUCGGUGACAAACAAACCUUUACGGUUUGCAUGAAAUCAUACCACUUGGAAAUAUCCUGCAGUUUUUAUCGUUGUUUUUUGGUCGAUGCAAAGAAGUGGACGUUAUGGGGAAAGUUGUGCAGGUUAGAUGGAUCGAUCCCAUUGAGACUACUCUCUUGAAAUAUUCCCGGACACCUUGAUACCCAGGCCAUGACAUACAGUUCCUGUAAGUGCUGACAUACCGUCAAAGCAGUGACUUGUGUAACACCGAAUGGUGCAAUCACUCAUUUUUCAACUUUGAGUAUUGGGAUCAACAUGUACUCCACAGAAAAGUUCCAGCAAAACCCAAAGCUGGAAACCAUCUGUGAUCAAUUAAAACAAUGUGUGUCCUUGAACAUUCCAGCUUUUUAUCCUUGAGAGGACAGUUGGCUUAUAAAAAAGUUGAACUGUGUUACAUAUUAGCCAGGGGAGUAUUUACGUCUAGAGGGCUAACGAAAGGAUAAAAUCCACAUGCCAGCAGUCUGCGAGCCAAUAUUAACCAAGAUAAAUAUGUGCAUGGGAUGCAUUAAACAGUAUAUUAAAUUCUAAUAACUGUUUAUUCAACCGUAAUAUUUUUAAAACAUUUUUUGGAGUGACUGUUAAGUACAAUGCUCUACAUGUUCACAUCUUCAGGAAUUAAGCACUCGGAUUUUUUUUUUGGGGGGGGGGGAUAUUUUAAUAUCGUUUUCUUCAUUUAUUAUUAUUAUUUGGAAAUCCUGUAUGAUUAAAAUAAAAUUCGUGUGUCAAAUAGUUUAGUAUAAAUAAAAAAUGCACUAUUGAUUGUUAUUGUUUUACUAAGUAUGUUUUAUCAAUACAUGUUGAUUUUGAAUUCAUUCAGGAAUGGAAAUAUUAAAAGAAUAAUUCUGUUAA